This is a long non-coding RNA of Pectinophora gossypiella (pink bollworm), 809 nucleotides long. RefSeq lists it as uncharacterized. The record is from RefSeq and is a predicted model, not a curated record. The transcript is spliced from 3 exons. NCBI's taxonomy places the organism in Eukaryota, Metazoa, Arthropoda, Insecta, Lepidoptera, Gelechiidae.
UUCAACAAACUCAACAAUUUUUAAACGUUGAACCACUAAACAUCUAAAUACAAGAGAAUGAAAACUCCUACCUAGAUAUCAACAUCGUAUUACGCACGCGUAACGUAGCCGCGCGUGUGUGGCGCGUUGUUCGACUUACAUUGCGGCACAGUAAAAAUUGAAAAUCUUAAUUAGACAUUUGCGACAAGAAAAACACCCACCAUCGUUUUUAGUACAAUCAAAUAGGCGUUCCAUUUUUUUUUUCGUUACGAUGUCACUAACACCCUGUAUACUUAAUAACAAUACAAAUAGGUUAUAAUUAUGUCGCUAUGGUAUAUGAGAAAGUCAAGUAAAUAUCUAAGUAAUAGGGCAAUGGGAUGUGAGAUAUUAUAAGUAUUUAUAGUUUAAAAACAGUCAAAUCAACGCCAAGCAAACCUAAACUUAAUGACACUGAUUAAAGCUUAUAAUUAAACAAGAGAGACUUACAAGAAGAUUGUGUUUAAUAUGACUACAGAAUAGUGGGAAUCAUAAUGGAAGGAAGACAAAAUAAGAUGCAACGUACGGGUUUUAGCUACAAUAAUUAGUAAGAUUGAAGACUUCUUGACGAUGUUUAUAAUGUAUCCUAUAAAAUAUUCACUCACCAGAAUCGUCCAAAGAUUCAGGAGGGACAGAUAUCUACUCCAAACCUGGUAUCUGUUGCAGAUAUUCAAGAAAAUUAUAGGAAAACAAAUGUGAAUGACGGACAGAUUUAGCAAGAUGAAAGAUUUAAGCCUACAAGCACGCUACUGUUUCUCACAUCAAAGGUACAUUGUUAAUUAUGAACAUCAAUA